This 73-nucleotide transfer RNA is filed under the name Cordylochernes scorpioides. Its description in RNAcentral is "tRNA-Thr". Lineage: Eukaryota; Metazoa; Arthropoda; Arachnida; Pseudoscorpiones; Chernetidae. The record is from RNAcentral.
GUCCAGGAAUGGGAAUCGAACCCACAGUGUUCCGCUUACCAGUCAGAUUCCAUGUCCACUAGGCUACCCUGGA